Molecule: long non-coding RNA, 1473 nt
Filed under: Citrus x clementina
Lineage: Eukaryota; Viridiplantae; Streptophyta; Magnoliopsida; Sapindales; Rutaceae
Description: Citrus clementina (C. clementina) long non-coding RNA (CCLE_LNC004886)
Source: RNAcentral
ACGAACUUCGCCCACGCCCCCCACCAAGGCUAUAGCCCACACUUUUUUGGGCCAUUUUUCGGCGGGGGGGGGUGGCAACCCGACCUUCGGGAGAUCAUUUUUGGGCGCGGCUGUGCCCGUGGCCUAUUUUUGGCACACGGAGGCCGCCCGCAAAGUCUGGGGCCUUUCCGAGUCCGGCGGACGAACUUCGCCCACGCCCCCCACCAAGGCUAAAGGCCACCUGUUUUUCGGCCAAUUUUCCGCUGGGGGGUGUUGGCGCCCCGACCUUCGGGCGCUCAUUUUUUGGCGCGGCUGUGCCCGUGGCCUAUUUUUGGCGCACGGAGGCCGCCCGCAAAGUCUGGGGCCAUUCCGAGUCCGGCGGACGAACUUCGCCCACGCCCCCCGCCAAGGCUAUAGCCCACCCGUUUUUUGGCCAUUUUCCGCUGGCGGGUGUUGGAACCCGACCUUCGGGAGCUCAUUUUUGGGCGCGGCUGUGCCCGUGGCCUAUUUUUGGCACACGGAGGCCGCCCGCAAAGUCUGGGGCCUUUCCGAGUCCGGCGGACGAACUUCGCCCACGCCCCCCACCACGGCUAUAGCCCACACGUUUUUUGGCCAAUUUUCCGCUGGGGGGUGUUGGAACCCGACCUUCGGGAGCUCAUUUUUGGGCGCGGCUGUGCCCGUGGCCUAUUUUUGGCACACGGAGGCCGCCCGCAAAGUCUGGGCCCAUUCCGAGUCCGGCGGACGAACUUCGCCCACGCCCCCCACCGAGGCUAUAGCCCACCCGUUUUUUGGCCAUUUUUCCGCUGGGGGGUGUUGGCGCCCCGACCUUCGGGCGCUCAUUUUUGGGCGCGGCUGUACCCGUGGCCUAUUUUUGGCACACGGAGGCCGCCCGCAAAGUCUGGGGCCAUUCCGAGUCCGGCGGACGAACUUCGCCCACGCCCCCCUCCAAGGCUAUAGCCCACCCGUUUUUUGGCCAUUUUUCCGCUGGGGGGUGUUGGCGCCCUGACCUUCGGGCGCUCAUUUUUGGGCGCGGCUGUGCCCGUGGCCUAUUUUUGGCACACGGAGGCCGCCCGCAAAGUCUGGGGCCAUUCCGAGUCCGGCGGACGAACUUCGCCCACGCCCCCCACGAAGGCUAUAGCCCACACGUUUUUUGGCCAAUUUUCCGCUGGCGGGUGUUGGAACCCGACCUUUGGGAGCUCAUUUUUGGGCGCGGCUGUGCCCGUGGCCUAUUUUUGGCACACGGAGGCCGCCCGCAAAGUCUGGGGCCUUUCCGAGUCCGGCGGACGAACUUCGCCCACGCCCCCCACCACGGCUAUAGCCCACACGUUUUUUGGCCAAUUUUCCGCUGGGGGGUGUUGGGACCCGACCUUCGGGAGCUCAUUUUUGGGCGCGGCUGUGCCGUGGCCUAUUUUUGGCACACGGAGGCCGCCCGCAAAGUCUGGGGCCUUUCCGAGUCCGGCGGACGAACUUCGCCCACGCCCCCCACCAAGGCUA